ACCCAUAUAGCUCAGGGUGUACAACAUGAGACUCUUAACCUCAGGGUUGUGGGUUCAAGCCCCAUGUGGGGCA
Molecule: non-coding RNA, 73 nt
Organism: Podarcis lilfordi (Lilford's wall lizard)
Lineage: Eukaryota; Metazoa; Chordata; Lepidosauria; Squamata; Lacertidae
Source: the annotation of a GenBank genome assembly